CUAGCACUAUAGUCUUCACCUAUCUAGAUUAGCGUUGCCCCUGCCAUGUGAGUGCUGGAAGGGUGAGUUUUACUUACCUCGCAGCCCUCUCCGUGCUGGUCUCUCUUAAGGAAGCUCCGGGACCUUGGCUAAGAUCCAAUAGGAACGCGUUGGGACGCUAGUGCGCCUGCAAUGUAAAACAGAUGGUAUCUGCGAUACCAUCUGAUUGAAAUAGAGUUUUACUCUGAUAUUUUGUCAGUAUGACUGACAGCCACUAGAGGCAAUUAAAUCCUGCAAUGUAAACACUGCUGUUUUUGCGGAAUUAAAACUAGAGGGACAUGGCACCCAGACCACGUGCCUAUAGAAACCCUUUAAAUUAGAAAUUCAC
Molecule: non-coding RNA, 367 nt
Organism: Pelobates cultripes (western spadefoot toad)
Lineage: Eukaryota; Metazoa; Chordata; Amphibia; Anura; Pelobatidae
Source: the annotation of a GenBank genome assembly